Molecule: ribosomal RNA, 871 nt
Filed under: uncultured bacterium
Lineage: Bacteria
Description: bacterial SSU rRNA
Rfam family: Bacterial small subunit ribosomal RNA
Source: RNAcentral
AGAGUUUGAUCCUGGCUCAGGAUGAACGCUGGCGGCGUGCCUAAUACAUGCAAGUCGAACGAAACUUCUUUAUCACCGAGUGCUUGCGCUCACCGAUAAAGAGUUGAGUGGCGAACGGGUGAGUAACACGUGGGCAACCUGCCCAAAAGAGGGGGAUAACACUUGGAAACAGGUGCUAAUACCGCAUAACCAUAGUUACCGCAUGGUAACUAUGUAAAAGGUGGCUAUGCUACCGCUUUUGGAUGGGCCCGCGGCGCAUUAGCUAGUUGGUGGGGUAAAGGCUUACCAAGGCAAUGAUGCGUAGCCGAACUGAGAGGUUGAUCGGCCACAUUGGGACUGAGACACGGCCCAAACUCCUACGGGAGGCAGCAGUAGGGAAUCUUCCACAAUGGGCGAAAGCCUGAUGGAGCAACGCCGCGUGGGUGAAGAAGGUCUUCGGAUCGUAAAACCCUGUUGUUAGAGAAGAAAGUGCGUGAGAGUAACUGUUCACGUUUCGACGGUAUCUAACCAGAAAGCCACGGCUAACUACGUGCCAGCAGCCGCGGUAAUACGUAGGUGGCAAGCGUUAUCCGGAUUUAUUGGGCGUAAAGGGAACGCAGGCGGUCUUUUAAGACUGAUGUGAAAGCCUUCGGCUUAACCGGAGUAGUGCAUUGGAAACUGGGAGACUUGAGUGCAGAAGAGGAGAGUGGAACUCCAUGUGUAGCGGUGAAAUGCGUAGAUAUAUGGAAGAACACCAGUGGCGAAAGCGGCUCUCUGGUCUGUAACUGACGCUGAGGUUCGAAAGCGUGGGUAGCAAACAGGAUUAGAUACCCUGGUAGUCCACGCCGUAAACGAUGAAUGCUAAGUGGUGGAGGGUUCCCCCCUUCAGUGC